RNAcentral lists this long non-coding RNA (20527 nucleotides) under Manihot esculenta (cassava). Its description in RNAcentral is "long non-coding RNA (MESC_LNC010764)". Lineage: Eukaryota; Viridiplantae; Streptophyta; Magnoliopsida; Malpighiales; Euphorbiaceae. The record is from RNAcentral.
UGUGUGGGUGGUAUUGAAGUAGGGUUCAGUUUCUCGAAAGGUAACAUCCAUACUGACUAAGUAUUUUCUAGAGGGAGGGUGAUAACACCUAUAUCCCUUCUGUGUCGGAGAAUACCCAACAAACACACAUUUAAGGGCCUUGGGGUCCAAUUUCCCUGCCGUCCUAGUAUGGACAAAACAAACACACCCAAAUACUUUUGGUGGAACAACGUAUGAAUUCUUCCCUUGUAGAACUGCCAAAGGACUCAUAAAGUCAAGGGUCUUGAGAGGCAUUCUAUUUAUAAGGUAAGCAGAUACAAGGAUUGCAUCUCCCCAAUAUGCUUUGGGUAGAUUCAUGGUGAACAUAAGAGAUCGAGCUACCUCCAAUAGAUGCAUAUUUUUUCUCUCAGCAACGCCAUUUUGAGCACUAGUAUAAGGACAACUAGUCUGGUGUACUAUCCCAUUACUCUCCAAAUAGGCAGAAAAGCUACUCUCCAUGUAUUCUCUCCCAUUGUCAGUUCUCAAAAUUUUCACCUUAGUAUCAAAUUGAGUACAAACCAUCUUAUGAAAAGAUUGAAAACAAGAAAAAACAUCACUUUUAGCUUUAAUCAGAUAGACCCAAGUCAUUCGAGUGCAACAAUCAAUAAAGGAGACAAACCAUCGAUUACCAAAUAAGGAGACAGUUUGAGUAGGCCCCCAAACAUCAGAAUAAAUAGUUGCAAAAGGAAUUUGACUUUUAUUAUGACUCAAAGGAUAGGAUGUUCUAGUGUGUUUAGCAUACUCACAAGCAUCACAAAAUAAAGAGCCAAACUGGGCUUUAGCAAACAAAUCAGGAUAAAGUUUUUCUAAGACAAAAAAUGAUGGAUGUCCUAACCGCCGGUGCCACUGUAUUAUUUCCCGAUUGACAUCCUUAUUUUCUCCAAAACAAGCUUGAGAUAUCGAAGAACCCGGAGCACUCUCCAACAUGUAUAAGCCAUCAUGUAGCCUACCAUUGCCAAUCCUCUUCCCUGUGCGAAGAUCCUGAAUAACACAAUGAUCAGGAAAGAAUUCAAUUUUACAGUUAAGGGCAUUGGUGAUAGCACUGACAGAUAAAAGGUUGACAGGAAAGUGGGGAACAUGAAGGACAGAUGAUAAUUUAAUGUUGGAUGUGCAAAUAACAGAACCUGUUCCGGAUACGGGAGUAAAAGAGCCAUCAGCAAUUCUGACACCAUCUUUGGUUAGAGAAGGAGAAUAAUUGAGAAAGCCUUUAGAAGAGCCUGUCAUAUGUCUAUUCACACCAGAAUCGAUAAUCCAUGGAACAUUAUUAAAAGAGGAAGCAUUACCUGACUUUAAAAAGUUAGAUGUGGCACCAGAGGAUGAAGAGGUGUCAAUAUGAGACAAGAGGCGCUUGAGACUCUGAAGUUCAUUAGGGGAAAGAAACUCAGUCGUUGUUGUCUCCUUAAAGGGCUCCUCCACAGUUUCUGCUAAAUUAGCUUGAUUUCUAGAGGUACCUCGUUUUCCUCCACGACCUCUAGUGGGACGACCAUGUAACUUCCAACAAGUCUCUUUGGUAUGCCUCGGUUUCCCACAAUAGUCACAAUGUAAUUGAUCUUUCUCAGAAGUAGGAGGUUGUGGUAUGCUCAAACUAGUAGUCAACCCAGCCUUUUCAACUGGUGCAGUAUCGAGCAUAGCAUGUCGACGACUUUCCUCUUGUUGAACAUGGGCGUGGGCCUCUUGUAGAGAAGGAAAAGGAUUUCUUCCCAACACUUGGACUCGAAUUGGAUCAUAUUCAUUAUUCAACCCUGCAAGAAAAUCAUAGACCCGCUCCUUUUCAAUCAUUCUCCGAAAUUUGACUGUAUCUCCAGUGCAGUCUGCCUGGAAGUCUUGAUAGUAAUCAAGUUCUUGCCAUAAGCCACAUAACUCAGAAUAAAAUUGGGAGAUAGUCAUCUCUCCUUGCUUAGUACCAUUAAUCUUAUUCCGAAUAUCAUAAAUUUGGGCAUCAUUCCCAAUCUUGGAAUAAGUUAAGGACAAAGCUUUCCAUAUUUUUGCAGCAGUAUCAAUUAACAAAUAGGACUUAGAGAUAUUAGGUUGCAUAGAGUUCAGUAACCAUGUCAUAACAAGAAAAUUAUCUGAGUCCCAUUGAGGAAAAUCUGGAUCACUCUCAUCAUGUGCUUUUUAUUACCAGUGACAUAACCCUGCAGUCCUCUAGCCUUGAUAAACAACAAACAAGACCAUGACCAAGCAAGAUAGUUGGUUCCAUCAAGUUUUAUGGGACUAAUUUGGAAGGAAGGAUUAUCAGAGUUAGGAGUCGAGACCCUUUUACCUUCUGCCAUAGUAAAGAUUUAUGAACCGUGAAAGAAUAUGAGGUACCCAAGGUUGUACACACAAGAAAGCCCAAUUGAUUCACCAAAAAACCGGGUAACAGCACGGGAAGGCCGGAAAGAUGGUCGGAAUCGUCGCCGGAGUGAUCGGAGCGGCGAAGCAGUGACGGACGGUGGGUCACGCACCGGGAACCGCCGGGUCACGCGCCGGGAAUAGGUGGCGCGUGAGCUUCACACACAGGCUUUUCCGGCGUCGGAGCAAGGCGGCAGUCCGGCGGUUCUCCUGGUGCCGACGGUGAGAGAAUGAAAGCCUCCUGAAUGGGUUAGUACCAAAAAAGUAGAUCUAGGGUUUUGAAACCCUAAAGAAGAAAAAUUGAAUUUGGACCCAAAAAAAUCAGGAAAAAGGCUCUGAUACCAUGAAGAUUUUUGGGAAAAUUUUGAGUAUUCUUGUAUUUCACUCUUAAUCUGUACAAUUCGUCUACAUGACUAUUUAUACACAAAGAAUCAUAUCUAAACAGGAAGCAAAUAAUCAAAUAAUAAUUACAAAGAUAAUUAAGGAUCCUAAUCAAAUCAAAUCAAAUCCCUAGAAUCAACUAGGAUUAGCAAAUAAGUCAACAUUUUUCAACCUACUUUCUGUAAGUUAUUUGGGAUUUGUGGUAUUACAGUAGAUUGAGAACUUGUAUAUGAAUUAUAGGCUCUAAUUUUGUUUGUUAUUUGUUUUAUUUGACUUUGAAAACUCAUUUUGCAAAGGGAUUUGAAGGGAUUGAAUAACUGGGAAUGAAAUUGACACAAUUCUUGAUAAUUUCAGUUUUCAAUAAAUCGAAUCAAACUGAUUAAUAUUGAUUCGGUUUGAUUCGAUUAUUCUUGCAUAUCGAUUGGUUCAGUUUAGAUUUUUUAAGCGAUUCAGUUUUUCAAUUUCGGUUCGGUUUUGAAUGCUCUUCCCCGUCAUGAGUUAUUUCUUUAACACAAAUUGAACCAUAUAUCCUGAAAUGAAAAUGUAGUUUAAUGAGUGAAACUACAAGGUAAUUUUUGUACUUUUCCCUUUUAAUUAAUAAUUAUAAUUUGCUUGCUACGUUGACAUUUCUUAACAGUGUCUAGAAAUUGUCGUCGUUUGUUGACCAACAUAGAAGGUUUGUAACUAGGAGGAUUCAGAUCUUUGGAAUCCUAAUUAGGCUUGAUUAUAAAACUUGAUUAUAAGAAUUUUAUUUUUAUUAUAAAUAUUCCUAAUUUAGGUUGAUUCUUUAUGUAUAAAAACCUUGUAAAGAUCAAUUCAAUUAGAAUAGAAUUAAAAAUUCCUCUAAAAAAUCUUUAUGGCAUCAGAGUUUUGCUAAUAUUAUUUGGUAUAAGGUUUCCUAAGUUAGGAUUUUUAUAGGUCAAGCAUCUAGGCGACUCUAUAGAGGGAGUUAUCCGACACCGCCCAUACCAAGAGAAUAUCCAUUGGAUCUCCAGCCUUUUCCCGACGACACACCUCCGUUCCGGCCAUACGCGUGAUCUCAUGCGCCACCACAGUCUCAUAGUCAUUUUCACGUGCCAGCACGUAGGUCCUUCUCCAGUGCCCUUUUCUGAUGAUACUCCUUUCUAACGACCUCCCUUUCACGUCGCACCUCUGACCAACCCAAUCCCAUCCCUUUUCGCCUCUGCUACUCCAGUGAACAGUAGUUCUUUACCUGUUUUGAAAAAAAAGAAAGUUUAUUUUUCUUCUCCUUGAAAUGGCAAACAAGAAAGUGCUAAUGUGGAAAAUGUAAGGGCCUCUAACAAUGCUUUCGUUUCAUCUAUUGAUUUUGCUCCAUAAAUUAUUGAUUCUGGCUCAAAUAGACACAUGCAGACUCUUCUCAAGGUUUCCUUAAUUAUCUUCCAUGUCUACAAAAGAAUACUGUUAGAAUAACCGAUGGUUUCUUCACUCCUAUCUCUGAAACCGAUGCUAUUAUUUGUACUCCAAAUAUCAAGCUAUCCACUGUUCUUUGCAUUCCUUGUUUCCCUGUUAAUUUGUUAAUCUUUUAUUUGUUAAUGCUCUCACCAAAGCACUUAAUUGUAAAAUUGAAUUUUUUUUCCUGACUAUUGUAUUAUUCAGGACCUUCAAACUGGGCAAAAGUUUGGCAAUGAUAGACUACACGAUGACUUAUAUAUAUUGAAAGAAAAUUUGAGUUUGAAUUCACCUCGGACUCUUUUUAAAAGAAACCAGGAUGUCAACCAGGAAAUCAUACAGUGGGUCGACGAUUAGAACAUCCAUCCUUCUUUGUUUUAGAGAAAUUUUAUCUUGAUUUAUUUUCCAAGAAUCAAUGUGGUUCUUUAAUUUGUAAUGCCUCUUAUCCCUCCAGUAUUAAUAGGAGUACGAUUCCUUUUGUGACCAUCCAUUCUGACGUUUGAGGACCUACUCAAACACUCUCACUAUCUGCUCACUAUUUAGUAAUCAUUGAUUUGUGACUUUUAUUGAUCGUUGCACUCGCAUGACUUGGGUUUAUCCGAUAAGGGCAAAGAGUAAUGUGGUUUCUUGCUUUCAAUCUUUUCACAGGAUGAUUUGUACUCAAUUUGAUAUUAAGAUAAAAGUUUUGAAAACUGAUAAUUGUACAGAAUACUUGGAUUGUCGUUUUGCUUAUCUGGAGUCUACUAGGAUACUGCAUCAAACUAGUUGUCCUUACACUAGUGCCCAAAAUAGUAUUGCUGAAAGAAAAAAUACACAUAUUAGAAGUAGCCCGAUUUCUCUUUUUCACCAAUCUUCCAAAAACUUAUUGGGAGAGAUGCAGUCUUAGCCACAGCUUAUCUCAUUAAUAAAAUGUCUCUCAAAGUUCUUGCCUUUCAAAGCCCUUUAAAGGUGCUACAAGGGAAAAAUGCUUAUAUUGUUCUACUAAAGGUGUUUGGAUGCAAGAGUUUGUUCAUAGUAAAACAGGUGGAAAGCUUGAUACGAGAGCUCUUAAAUGUGUGUUUGUUGGAUUCUCUCUCACAUAGAAAGGUUACAAGUGUUACCACUCUCCAUCUAGAAAAUACUUUAUCAGUAUGGAUGUUAUAUUUAGAGAGAUUGAACCUUACUUCAGUACUACUCCAUCCGACAGCUCUUAAAUAUGCGUUUGUUAGAUACUCUUUUGCAUAGAAGGUUACAAAUGUUAUCACCCUCUAUCUAGAAAAUACUUUAUCAGUAGCCCUCCAUCUAGAAAAUACUGAUAAAGUAUGAAUAUUACAUUUAGAGAGACAGAACCUUGCUUCAUUACUACCUCAUCACCUCUUCAGGGGAGAACAGAACAAUGAGAGAGAAAAGAUGAUUCCUAGUUCUAUGACUCUAAAGCGUUUUAUUCUAGAGGAGACUACUAUACACAGGGGAAGACUAUUAGUCAGGAAAAGAUAAUUGGGUGUUUGGAUAAACUAGAUUUAAAGAGAUAUUCAAAAAGAGACAUAACGAAAGUAGAAAAAGCCAUUGUGCAGCCUACUCUUCUCCGUCUGAUGAGUCAUCCCUAAAUCUUGAGGCCAUUCCUAAAUCUUGAACCCAUUGAUGAUCUGAAUAAAUCAAUAGCUCAAAGAAAAGGAGUUAGGUCUUACACAAUGCACCCUAUUUUUUAAAACUCUCUUAUGAUUCUUUAUUUUCAUCUUAUAGAGCUUUUGUCUUAUCUAUUUUCUCUGUGUCUAUCCCACAGGAUUGGAAGGAAACUCUCAAAAAUUCUAAUUAGAAUGGAGGAAUAAUUGAAGAAAUGAAAGUCUUGGCUAAAAAUAAAACUAAGAGUUGAUGUCUCUUCUACCUGAAAAAAAAAAAAAAAAAAAAAAAAAAAAAAAAAAACCCAGUUAGCUGCAAAUGGGUGGUCACCAUGACAUUCAAAGCAGAUGGGUUAAUCGAAAGAUCCAAAUCUAGACUAGUUGCUAAAGACUACACUCAAACCUAUGGAGUGAAUUACUAGAAGAUAUUUGCCCCUGCUGCCAAAAUAAACUCAAUCAGAGUAUUGUUAUCUUGCACUGCCAAUCUUGACUAAGACCUACAAUAAUUUGAUGUGAAAAAUACAUUCAUCCACGGAGACUUAGAGGAGAAAGUGUAUAUGUAAAUCCCUCAUGGAUUUGCUUAUAAAAAAACACAAAGAUGUGCAGGCUAAAUAAAGCUUUGUAUGGAUUGAAGCAGUCACCCAGAGCAUGGUUUGAUUAGCGAUGUAAACGGGUAGGGUACCCGCGAAAAUUAAACUACCCGAACCCGAACCCGAUUUAUAUUAGUAAUAUCCGAACCCAUUCCGAACCCGAUUAAAAAUUAAUUUAAACUAUCCGAAUCUGUCACAAACCCGAUUAUUAUUAUCCGAAUAAAAUCCGAACCCAUUUAAUCUUAUAUAUUUUAAUUAAUAAUUUAUAUAAAAAAUAGUUUUCAUUAAUAAUUUUCAUUUAAAAAAUAUAAUAUUUCUAAAGAAUAUUUAAAUUUAAAUUUUUAAAUAAAAAUAUAUAAAAAAAAAUUUAUAAAUAUUAUUGUAAAAUAUAUUUUUUAUAUUAAAUUAAUUAUUGGGUAAACUAUAAUUUAGUCCCUCUGAUUUAGUGAAAUGUAACCUUUCGUCCCUCUAUUUUAAAAAAUCGUCAAUUUAGUCAAUGUGAUUUUUAAAAACUAUGCCAUUAGUCCCUCCCGUUAGAUUUUCAGUUAAAGUCGCCGUUAGUCUUAGUUAAAAAACUAAAAUACCCAUUAUUAAUAUCAUUCUCUUCUUCUUCUUUACACCCACAUCCCAAACUUAGAAAUGAGCACUAGCCUGAGCUUUAGGCGGAGGAAACUAAUCCCUCGAAAUGCCGCCACCUGCACAACCGAGCACUAGCCUGAAUGGUGACCACAGACCAUUACGCCCACCGCAGAGUUCAAACACCCACCACCACCAUCCUUACUACCCAACGUCGUCGUCUUCCAAGUCAGCCUCCUUGAAAGGCUGCUGCUGCUGCUGUUGUCUCUUCCUUCUCUUCUCCUUCCUUGCUCCCCUUGUUCUCGCUAUCUUUCUUAUCAUUAUUCUCACCGUCAAGCCUAAGAAACCUGAGUUCGAUCUCCAACAAGUCGGGGUCCAGUACAUGGGCAUCCCCGCUUCUAAUCUCAAUUCACUUGACCCGACCAUCGGCACAACCACCAUGACCACUGGCGCCACCACCGCUUCACUCUCUUUAACUAUCCACAUGCUAUUCACUGCCGUUAAUCCCAACAAGGUAGGGAUCAAGUACAGCGAGUCUAAAUUCACUGUCAUGUAUCAUGGGAUUCCUUUGGGGAAGGCUUCGGUUCCUGGGUUUUUGGGGAAGGCUUCGGUUCCUGGGUUUUAUCAGGAGGCUCAUAGCGAGCGGCAGGUGGAAGCCACCAUCUCCGUUGAUCGUUAUAGCUUGAUCCAGGCCAAUGCUGUUGAUUUAAUCAGGGAUGCUUCGCUGAAUGAUAGAGUGGAGCCUCGGGUUCUGGGUGAAGUUGGUGCUAAGAUCCGUGUUGUAGACUUCGACUCACCUGGAGUCCAGGUCAGCCAUUAGCCAUCCUUCUUCUCUUUUCUAUCUUUCAGCAUCAGCUUUUCUUUUUUACUUCUAAGAUUGGCUUUACCUUGCAUUAAAUAUCCAACAUUGCUCAUUUCUAAUUUUGGCUUAUAAUUCCUCUUCCCUAAGUUAAUUUUGGUUCUAGUUUCUGAAAAAUUGGAUGUGGGUUCUUUUCUAGGCAUGGAUUUUUGGUUGCUAACUAAAUUUUGGCUUCUGGGUUCUUCUCUACGAAUAAGACGUUUGACAUUGCUGCUCCUUCUUUUGCUUCCUCUGCUGAUAAUCGGUUCACGUUAAAUACUCUGCCUGAUUCAACCCAGUUCAAACACCACCGUAAGAUUAAAAAUAAAAAGUACCUGCAAGUUAAUAAGCGGAAUAUGCAAAACUCAGAUCUUCAACACCAUAGCAAAAAUAUGAUGCGUUAAAAAUCACAGAAUAAAAAGGCAAAAAGAAUUUUUUUUUUCUUUCUGGAGAGAGAAAGAAAGAAAAUGUACAAAGUCGUAGAAAGUAUUGAAGAAGAAACUGAUAUGGGUAUUUUAGUCUUUUAACUAAAAUUAACGGUGAUUUAACUGAAAAUCUAACGGGAGGGACUAAUGGCAUAGUUUUUAAAAAUCACAGUGACUAAAUUGAAGGUUUUUUAAAACAGAGGGACGAAAGGUUACAUUUCACUAAACCAGAGGGACUAAAUUAUAGUUUACCCUUAAUUAUUUAUAUAAACGGGUUCGGAUAGUGGGUACCCUGUACAUAAAACCCGAAUCCGAUCCGAACCCGCAACGGGUAUUAUUUUUAAAACCCGAACCCAUCCCAAACCCGAUUAUAACUACUCAAAUCCGUUCUAUUAGGGUUCGGUCGGAUCGGGUACCCGAAAAUACCCGAUCCGUUUACAUCCCUAGAUUUGAUCGAUUAAGCAAAGCUAUGACACCACAAGAAUAAAAUUAAUCUUCUUAUAGUCUAUAUUGAUGACAUAGUAACGAUAGGGAAUGACACUGAAGAGAUGACUCGGCUGAAGAAGCUUUUGGCUCAGGAGUUUGAAAUUAAAGAUUUAGGAAAACUUUAAUAUUUUCUAGAAAUCAAAGUUGCCAGAUCAAAGAAGAGAACAUUUAUUUCUCAAGAAAAUACAUUAUGGAUCUUUUAAAAAAAAUUGUAUGUUAGACUGCAAAUCAGUAGAAAUUCCCAUUGGGAGCAAUAACAAGCUACAAGCAGGGAGUGGUGAAUAAGUGAAUAUUGGCAGAUAUCAGGUUGAUAGGCAAACUGAUUUAUCUUUCGCAUACUCGACCAAACAUAGCAUAUGCAAUCAGCUUAGUCAGUCAGUUUAUACGUGAUUCUCGUGAGUCUCACAUGCAAGCUGUUUUUCACAUGAUCCUCAAGAAAAUACAUUCUGGAUUUUUUAAAAAAACUGGUAUGUUAGGCUGCAAACCAGCAGAAACUCCCAUUGAGAGCAAUAAAAAGCUACAAGCAGGGAGUAGUGAAUAAGUGAAUAUUGGCAGAUAUCAGGUUGGUAGGCAAACUGAUUUAUCUUUCGCAUACUCAACCAAACAUAGCAUAUGCAGUUUAAUUUAAUGAUGGUUAAACUCAUUCUCAUAUAAGGCCGAACUUAUAUUAGACACACCCUAAAAUUUAGGUUGUCACUCAAAACAUAAGAUCCCUUUGCUUAGAUUGGAGGUGAAAUUUACUCCUUUUAUUUCUUUUUAUUUUGAACUACGAACUCAGUUACUUUGAAAACCUUUUAUGUGGUUCCUUUUCGGUGUUCCUGCCUCAAAUUUGGAUUAAUUAUACCAACCGCCCCUCAAUUUUUAGAUGAUUGUUUCAUUUCAGACACUUAACUUUAAUUUGUGAAAAUAAAAUCUCAACUUCAGUUUGUUCUAGAAAAUCCCUCCAGCUCAACCUUAAUAGCAAGUUUCUAGGAUAAAAAAAAUAAAUAAAUAAAUUUACUCUGCUCCAAAAAAGAAAUCACCAUUUUACUACCUUUCCUUCUCUCUCUCUAGAUUCAUAAUUUCUUAUAGUCAAAUUAAUUAAUACUUAUCUACCAAAAAAGUUACUUUAUUUUUAGUAAAGUUAUUAUUUAUUAUAUUUAUUAAUGAAAUUAUUUACUAAAUUUUUUUCUAUUUUGUUAUUAAUUUUUUUAUAUUAAUUUAAAUUUUAUUAAACAUUAAUUGAGUUCAUAUGCAAGUAAUUUUAUUUUUCCCAUUAAUUUUACAACACUAUUUUCUAAAAUCUUAUUUCAACAGAAUAAUUUAGUUCAAGUGCCAAUUAAUUUACUUGCUCAUUAAUUUUUUUUAAAAAAAAUCAUAUAAUUUUCUUAAAAUAUAAUUGAAUUAAACAAUUAAAUUCAAGUCUCGAUUUAACUAGGACUAUAAUUACAAUUUCAGUUUGUUUUAUACAAAAUAAAAUUAACUUUUAAAUACUAAUGACAAUUAUGUAGUUAAACCAUAAUGGUACACCCUAGCCAUAAUCCAGAAUAUUUAUUAAUCACUAUGUCAUUCAACAUUUGAAACCCAAUGUCCUACAUAAUGAGCAUGCAUUUGACCUUAAGGUCAUCAACCCAAAUAUCUAAUUUUGAUGUCUUAUGAUUUGGUCUCUGAAGAAGAGAGAUUUUUUCAAUGGAAUAAACACAGCUAAAAAGGGAUAAAAUAAGAAAGCCAUACCAGAGCAUAGCAAUUAACAAAUCAUAAGAGGCAAACACAAACAUCAAAAGUAUUGCUGAAAAGCAGAUUAACAACUCUUAACAUAUUAAAUUACUAAUUUCAAUAUUAGGUAUUGAGUAAUACCAAUUCCAAUGCGGAUGUUACGAAGCGCAAGGAAGACACCAAGAGGUGAUCCAACAGCAAAGAAUGUGUCAACCUGAUACAAAAAUUUCAUUCAAAUUAAUGACACAUCCCAUAAAUGUUAAACCUAAACUCAAUAAUGCUUCAGAAUUUGUAACCUCUUCACUUUCUAAUUUUUAAAACAAAUAUAUUAGAAGUUGAAAUUAUAUCAAACAGGGACAACAAACUUUGGACAAAUAUAGUAUUACAAUUCACAAUGUGGAACUUCGGACAAAAUUAGUAUAUCACGAUGCAAAGGACAUCUCAGUGCAAAGGCUCAGCGCCUCGGCGCAUUCUGAGGGUUGGGGAAGACUGUUUAUUGUGCGCGAUAUUCCCCUUUUUUUUUUUGCAAAGAUGCACUUGCACAGCUCAAACCCAGAACCUUCUAGUCACAAAGGAACAAACUUAUCAUGUGCCAACGACUCCCUCCUAUUUUGCAACACAAACGUAAAAGAAAAUUUUAGAAGGAAAAAGAAAAUAAUUUGUCCUUACCUUGAAUUCAAGCUUUGUGUACUUAAUAUAAGGUGUAAAACUCUUUGGUUCGUCAUCGGUAACACAUGGAAGCUUCUCAGACAUUUGUUGCUUUACUGCGGUUGCAUCCACUGUAUUUUCUGUUUAGCACAUCAUAACCAAAACAUAUCAACACUUGAGAGCACCUUCAUAAAAUAAGAAGAUAGUAACUUAUGUAUGUUAAGAUUAGCUAUUACCUUGAUGCAACCCACCAUGUAUAUCUUUAAUACUGGAUUGUGAUUCCAAUUCCGCAAUCCUAGCCCUAAGAGAAUCAAUCUGAAACAUAAACCACAAAUUUAAUGCACAGCAAACUAGUCUACUAAAUUCUACAUAAAAAGAUUACAUAUCUAAAAUUGCAGACCUCUUCCCUCAACAAUUUAAUAGUUUUAUCCUUAUUGCUAGAACUAUUGCUAAUACAACUGUCAUCUUCUGCUACCAUUUUGGCAAAACCACUAAUGUGAUCAUCACUUUUCACUCCAGCAGCUUCAACUAAUUCAUCCAUUCCCUGAGAAAGCACGUCACUGGAAUCAUUACCCAAUUCAAGGUCACUUCUCUCACUCCUUUGCUUAGAGUCGACAGCAGUUGCAGGCAGUUCCUCGAAAUUAUCAACCAGUUGAUUCGGGAUAGCACAAAAAUCCAAGGCACGUCCAUCAGUACAUACUGAAGUUGACUGUUCACUUGUCAUUUCUCCAUGAGCAGGAUUGGCUUUUUCCAUUGCUCCAUUAAUGCUGGGAUUAUUACCCUCCAGAUUUGUUGAAGAGUCGCUUGCAGAGCAUUGGUUACUCGUGUCAAUAGCAGAUUGAUCACUCCUAGCAUGUGCAUGUUCCUUGAACAUCCAAUCCAUUGGAAAUGGUGAGGAUAGAUUCUCCUGAUGGCAGAGGAUGUCAUACGAGAGGACACUUCCCAAAGAAUGGCCAUAGAUAGAAACCUAUCCAAAUAUUAGCAAUAUUUUGAGACAAUUCAAUGCAGCAAAAAAGAAUCUCAUCAGUUGCAAAGGAUCACAGCAUCAGCUCAAUCAGCCACAUACCUUUCCAUCAUAACCAGGAUUGCGCUUAAGAAACUUCAGAUAUAACCGGUUUAAUUGGUUUGAUACCUGGAGCAGAGGUGAUUACUCGUCAAUUCAUUCUCUGAACAAGUUUCUAGUCCCAAUCUAAAAACUUGAAGCAAUUAUAUGGUCCAUGAAAUAAGAUUGUAAUUGAAUAAAUUAUCCAAAGAAAGAAAAGGAAUAAGUAUACACAGAUACCAUAUAAUCUAAAUCUUAUAACAUACACCUACGAAAGGUAUUUCAAAUGCAACGAUUUAUGUGGGCCAGAAAAGAAAAUUUGAAAUAUAACAUGCAAUGACAUUAUCACUUGUUGCUGAAUAUAUCUCCACCAGAAGUUGUUGUUGCAAGGAACUGCUAAACUUCAGUCAAGAACAAAGGCUUUCAUGCUGUUAACAAACUAAGGCACAAACUAAAUUUACCAAAAGUUUAAAAAAGUGCCUACAUAAUGAAUAAAGUCAAACAUUUAUCACAAGUACAUAUGAUAGCGCUAUCUCCAUUAAGCAACCGAAUCCACAGAAGCAUUUAGAAGAUUCAAAAGCAUUUACUGGAUAAUGAACCACAAGAUGAUACAAAAAAAAUUGGAGAUCAAGUACACACCGAAUUAAUAAUGUCUUGACAAUAGAUGGGGCUCAUGUAGUAUAAUACAUCAUGUACUGUUGCACUCAGCAUGACACGCAAACCACGUACACCGUCCAAAGUAAUCUUUUCAACUGCAGUUUCACCACUAAGCUUCAAACCCUUUCUCCACUGAAAAACAAACGCAGGAAGUUUAUAGCACAUGCUAACACAAAGAGAAAGAAACGAAAACAAAAUCAAAAAAAAAAAUAAGGAGAAGCAAAAAGGAAGAGAAAAAGGCAUGAAGAGUUCAUGUGCAAACAAAAACAGGGAAAAGAAAAUUUAAGCCAAAAAAAAAAAUCCAUCCUAACAUACCUCACAUUUUCUGAGUAAAUCUUGAAUUUUACUUUAUUUCGUACCUAAAAAUAAGCUGCACUUUUUAAUUUACCAUAUUACUGGUGGGAUCCCAUUUUUUCCAUAUAGUUUCCAAAAAAAAAAGGUAGCCUCUUAUUUUAGCGAAAAAUUUAAAAAUUUUUAGUUCUAAAUUUUAGCAUAGUAAGAAACAUGCCUAAUGCUGAUGGUCAAAAAAAUUGUAGUUUUCUCACAAGGGUUCCCCUAGGAAUCUACCCAAAUGAUAAUUUAAAAAUAAAUAUGCAAACUAAUAAGCAUUUUGGCAAAGCCCAGUCCCAGGUACAUGCAAAUCCUUAAAACAAAGGAAACUCCCAUAGUCCCACCGUCGUCUUGCAACACUAGAAGCAUGGAUUUAAAUCACGAUCAAGGCUGGGAAUGGAAACAGCCAUAAAAUAAUAGUAAUUGCCUAUUGCUAUGCAAAUUUUUUUGAAAAAAAUUACAAAGUUCAUGACAUGGACAGAUACUUUAAGAUACCAUUAAAAACUAAGAUACCCAACUAAAUUUAUAGAGACAUUAAAAUACAUAACUUAGAAGUAAAAAAUAACCAAGAUCCUGAAUGAGCAUAUGUACUAUGGCUCAUUGUAGUAGGAUCUUGAAUGGGUUGGGAGUAUGUGGAUAUAGAAAUAUACAUUAAUUGCUCUUCUUCAAUUCAAAUUAAACUUCACUACUUGAUGAGCUUAGCUCAAGAAAUGAAGAUUUGUGAAGAUGGAAAAUUUAGAGAAUCAGAUAGAGAAAUAUAGAAACCAGAAAUAAAAUAAGCACUACGCCUCUCUGCAACAUAUAUAAAAAGAAUCCCUAUUAUCUAUGUGGGUAACGGUCAAUCAUCAUUAAGCAAUUGUUGCUAACCAUGGUUAUUGAACCCAGACCAGACAGGCCGGCCAAACCAAUUUCACUGGGAAUUGAAGCACCAUGUGUUUUAUUUUAAUCACCAAUCCUGAUUUUCAGAAAAUCAAUGUAAAUCAGUGUGAACCAGCCGAGUAUGAACCAAGAACCAGGACAAGUUUGAAUGAAUCCAAUUUGAUUAAAGCUUGCAAAGUGAGCUGCUAGGAUUUGAACCCGACAUGAAGAGAACACAUCAAGAACCAAGUGAACUACAAAGUCACUAUGAGUAUUACUUUUGUUAACUUAAAUUAUAUUAUAUUUAAAUAAAAUAAUUAUUAAUUAUUAACUUACUCACAAAAUUUCACCUUCAUAAAUGGUUUAGGCCAUUUUGCUAGCAAGGAACCCAAUUUUGGUCCAAUUCCUGAAACAAAAUUCCACACUCUUGGGCCUGCAAGUCUCAAUAUGGUAUCAAAGCAAUGAGGUCAUAGAUGUGGGACUCAAAAGCAUGGUGGCUGAGCAUAAAGAGCUAGACCCAUGAAAUGGGACAAAGAUGGGUCAAAUUCAAGUGGAUCCAUGGGCUAAUCAAGGAGAGCUAGACCCUAAUGGUAGAGCCAAAAAGAGCUAGACCUAAAUAGACCACUUCAUGCAAUGACAAGUGACAACUAGGCCUGUGAGCCUAAAGCCUGAGCCUGAACACAAUUCCAAUUAAAGGAGUGUUGGUACGUGAAAAAUGGGACAAAGUCCCAUAUCGACCAAAAUUUUUUAAAAAAAUAAAGGUAAACAAAAUAAUAAAGGAAUACCCAGAAACACAUCUACAAAAGUUUUGUAUCAGAAUCCACAAAGAAACGAUCCAAUUGAUCAAGAUGCACAAUGAGGAUCCUAUCCAUAAAGUGAUGCAAACCAAACCAAAGUGGCUUAGACAAUUUUGGUGAUGGAGAGGCCAAUUCCUAAAGUAGAAUCAGACUAUUUGUUGAUCUGCACUUCUAUUCUCAAUAAGAAGCUUGAUAGUUUGUUAAAUAUUUAUACCCAUUUUUAUAAUGCUCCACUCUAAUAGAAUGUGAAAGAAAACUUUUCAGUCGUAUGUUAAGCUUACAAAAUAGAUAAAGCAAUUUGACUGCAAACUUUUCAAUGGUAUGUCAAGGUUCACAUAAUAGAUAAUUCCCCAUUCAGCUAAAUCAAACAAAUAAUAAACAUCUACACUAUGAGAUUACUAACUUUUUGGAAAUAAAGAAAGAAAAAAAACAAUUGUGGGGUAAUCUAACAACAGUGACUAUAAGUGCCUUUCCAUUCCAUAUUAGUUGACAAAGCCUAACUUCAUAAGAACUGGAUGAAAUAUGAUGCAAUUUUACCUUAAAUCAUCCAAGGAAGUCAACCAAAUAAAUAACUAAAGCAUGAAAGAAAAGCAUUUCACCCCACAUGACAGUCCUCAUUUUCUCAGUGAGAUGUCCAUUAUGGUUGUCUGCUUUCAAAGAGCCAAUACACAAGAUAUAAUAAAUUCAUGAACCCAUCGCUUCAUGUAUAGACCAUGCAAAACUAAUUAAACUUCACAAGUCGCAUUCUGUGAGAAAUCUUUUAUUUAGCUUGGCUAUGGACAUAUUAAAUCAUAGGGAAGUUCAAAACUCCAAACAAGGAAGAUUAGCACUUCAUUAGUUUGUUUACCUGGCAUGGUAUGAAAAGGACUCGUUGAGCACUACGCUGGUGUGAAGUGAGGUGUCUUUCAGCAAGACUUGCCGUGAUAUGGCGAAAAUUUCCAACAUCAUCAACCAAAUUAGAUUUCUCCAACCUUUGGCCAAUUCCAUGAACCAUAAAAACAACAUGACGAACAGGAACCUUGACCAAAAAACUUAGGAUUAAACCAUAUCCAAUCAACAAAUUAAUGAAAGAAAAACAAUAUUCAAAGAGGAACCCACAUCUGGGAGAAAUUAGGAAAAACUAUUAAUUUAACAAAAUCACACAGAGGGAAAAAUAAGCUCCAAAUGCAUGCUAUCUAUAACUAGUUUAAGUUGAUGUGCAUAAUAUUGAAAAGAGAAAUCAUGUUCUCCUUGUUUUUUUUUCCGCUUGAAAAUAAUUACAACCAAAAAGAUUAUCAAGCACAUCAUUUACAAUAAUACAACCAAACAAAAAGGAAGGUCAUUAUUUUCACACAUGAAAUAGUCUGUCUGCAACCUAUCUACAAGAAUCAAGCACUUUAGAAAGAAAGUGAAGUAAUAUCAAGUGUCUAAACAACAAUCCUCUAAUCAGUUAUCAGUAUGAUAAAUUAUUCAAACAAUAUAAAACCCAGAGACUGGAACCAAGAGAAAUCUAUUCAAAACAGAGAAAGUCAAAUGGCCCAAAAGCCUAUAAUCAUGCUUCUUUGCAUCAUAAAUCUCCUGGCUCAAAUGAGAAAUUGUUGGCUCAUACAGUAACAGUUUUGUUAUGGAAACAGUUGACUUACUUAAUGCAUAGCAUACUCCUGCUUAGGAUAGACCACAAUUGUAGAGAUUUAUGUUCCUAAAUAGACAGCAGAUUUAUAGGAAUAAUAAUAAAUACACACUAAUUCUUCUCGACGAAAUAUACAAGAACCAUUCAGGUCUACAAGUUUAAACAGAUGAUUGUACAAACAAGCAACCACAAGAUAGAAUCAAGGCAAUUCUUAGACUUGCUUAACAAAAUCUUAUCAAACAGCCAUUCUCCAAGUCCUUUCGUGUUGUAAGUUGUCACUGAUACAGAAUUAAGGUGAAAUUUAAAUAUUCAUUAUAUAAAAGUUAAAAUAAAGAGGAGGAAGAAGCAAAUUUUCACUUAAGAAAACGCCUAAGCAUAGGUCCUACAUAAAUAACACGGAGGUUGACACAAGUCAAUACAGCAAGCAGAAUCAAACAGUAUGCACCUGUGAACAGUAAUCAUCCAUUUCUUCUUCCUGCUGCUGUCGAAGCUCAUCCUAAAUAAAAGAAAAUGAAUAAAUAAGUACCAUAUUCUAUCAUUUGAUUGCAAGAAUAGCAAAUCUUACCAUUCUCUAUAGCAUAAUGAAGGUAACUAAAAAACCAUAACCAAUUUCGAAAUUUUGCCUAAAUGACAUGCAUAAGAGAAAAGGAUGAGCAAUGCGAUGACAUGGGAAGAGCAGGUGCAGCUGUAAGAACAAGUUUGCUGCCGUGCAUACACGUCAUUUUCACAAACAAUAAUCAAAGGUAACUUGUUUUCUGCUACAACAGGGCUAAAAACAGACCUGGGUUGGUUUUGCAGAGUGAGAUGCUGAAUAACCACGCCUUAACUUAAUCCCAUUUCUACUUAAGCUAAUGAUACUAGAAAAACCAGAAGUAUCAACAUUAAGCCAAGCCUCCCACGUAUCAUCUUCUCCUGUGAAAAGUGCAUGAAGUCCCUGCAUGGCACAGCCAAUCAUAUAUUCACACGCAUCAAAUAUUUGUUAACCACGUAAUAAUAAUAACAGCAACAACAACAAUAAUAUAAGGAAUGAAUUUCCACUUUUACAGAUUUACUCACUGGAGUAGACCCUUGCAAAUCAAUACGUGCAGCAAAAAGCCCUGUCGGUUGGAAUCUCCUCCUACGCCAAACCUGAAGCCAAAUUCAAAGUUGGAAAAAUAGAGAAAGAGAUCAACCACUUAAGGUUUUCUAGAAAGCUGAAAACUAAAAUAUGUAGGGUAUAGAGAAAUCAUCCUUUCUCCAGCAUAAUAAGGCAUUAUCAAACUCUAACAUACAAACUUUUUUGAGAAUUAAGAAAUUUUGGAGCAAUGAAAUGGUUUUCACCAACUGUGUCAAAUAAAAUUAUUUAAAGAGAGAGUUGGCAGCACUAAGCAAACCUGUCUGCGGUAAGCAAUCUCUAAUUGCUCUGCAACAUCUUCACGAAGAGGCAGCCAAUCAAGGCCCGCUUUACGAGCAAACCAAUGACCCCUUAACACACGUCGAUUUUCCCCAUUCCAAUAAACAGGAAAACAACGUCUCUUCACUAGAUCUACCUGGAAAGUUCUAGAAAAUAUUAACGUAGUGCUUUAACUUUUACAUCAAACAUCAAAUAACAUGCCAAAUUUAAGAACAUGAGUCAGAAAUAUAAAUGUGUAAGAUAAUAAUGCAAAUUUUCACUAAGACAAGUAUGCUAGAAAAGUUCAUUUUAUGCCAUUGUUUUUUUGCAUGCAAAGGUGAAGAAUUUUGGUAAAAUUUUGAAUAUUCUUGCAUUUCACUCUUAAUCUUUACAAUUGGUCUAUAUGACUAUUUAUACACAAAGAAUCAUAUCUAAACAGAAAGCAAAUAAUCAAAUAAUAAUUACAUAGAUAAUUAAGGAUCCUAAUCAGAUCAAAUCAUAUCCCUAGAAUCAGCUAGAAUCAACAAAUAAGUCAACACUCUCCCUCAAGUUGGUGCAAAGAUGUCGCACAUGCCCAACUUGCAAAUCAAAUUAUGGUAGAUCUUGUUGUUGAGCCCUUUAGUAAACACAUCCGCAAGUUGUCCAGUAAAAGUCACAUGAACUAGGCUCAAGACACCGUCUGUUAAUUUUUCUUUAAUGAAGGGCCGAUCAAUUUCAAUGUGCUUCGUCCGAUCAUGUUGAACUGGAUUUUGUGCUAUACUUAUAGCAGCUUUAUUGUCACAAUACAAGGUUAUCUUGUCUCUCUCGGGCAGUCUCAACUCUUCCAAUAACUUCUGCAGCCAUAAGAGUUCACACACACCUUGGGCCAUUGCUCUGUAUUUUGCUUCAGCACUUGACCGAGCAACAAAACUUUGUUUUUUGCUCCUCCAGGUGACAAGGUUCCCUCCCACAACUGCGCAGUAGCCAGAGAUGGAUUUCCAAUCUGCAUCUGUAAAAGCUUCAAUUCGGAGGUGACCAUGUUUGGAGUAAAGAAGCUCUUUCCCUGGCGCAGACUUUAGGUAUCUCAAGAUGCGACGUACAGCCUGCAUAUGAGUCUCACGACGAUCAUGCAUGAAUUGGCUUACUAAGCUGACAGCAUAGGCUAUAUCCGGCCGAGUGUGUGAGAGAUAAAUCAACCUUCCUACUAAUCUCUGAUAUCUUCCAAUAUCCACGGACUCACCAGUUCCUGCUUCCAACUUGUGAUUACUUUCAAUGGGAGAUUCUGCUCGUUUACACCCCUAUACUAAUUUCUUCCAAAAGAUUCAGAAUGUACUUUCUUUGGGAGAUGAAAAUUUCUUUUUCUGAUCUAGCCACCUCGAUACCUAGGAAAUAUUGCAGUUUUCUUAGAUCUUUGAUUUCAAAUUCCUGAGCCAACAACCUCUUUAGUUGAGCCAUUUCCUCUUUGUCAUCACCUGUCACCACUAUAUCAUCAACAUACACAAUAAGAAGGGUGAUCUUACCCUUAUGAUGUUUGAUAAACAGAGUGUGAUCAGCAUUACUUUGUUGGUAACCAAAUGACAUCAUGACUCUGCUAAACCUGUCAAACCAAGCUCCGGGAGAUUGUUUUAGCUCAUACAAAAUCUUUUUUAACCUGCACACAUUUCCUUGUAUCUUCUCAUCAGCAAACCCAGGAGGAAUUUCCAUGAACAUUUCUUCCUCUAAAUCUCCAUGGGGGAAAGCAUUCUUCACAUCAAACUGUUGCAAGUCCCAGUCCAAGUUGGCUGCGCAAGAUAACAGAACUCUAAUCGAGUUCAUUUUUGCAACUGGGACACAUAUCUCUUGGUAAUCCACUCCAUAGGUUUGUGUGAAUCCUUUAGCAACCAAUCUAGCCUUAAAUAGUUCAAUUGUACCAUCAACUUUGUGUUUUACUGUGAACACCCACUUACAGCCAACGAGUUUCUUCCUAGGUGGAAGAGUAACAAGCUCCCAAGUCUCAUUUUUAGCUAAUAUUUUCAUCUCUUCAAUAAUUGCUUCCUUCCAUUUAGGAUCUGCAAGAGCUUUACUCCAAUCCUGUUGAAUGAACAUAAAAGAAAUAGACAAGGCAAAGGCUCUAUAUGAAGGAGACAAGGAUUCAAAAGAAACAAAGUUAGAAAUAAGAUGUUUAGUACAAGAUCUGACCCCUUUUCUUUGAGCAAUAGGUUUAUCUAAGUCAUUGGAGCAUUCAAGAGUUGUGGGUAACUCACCAGAAGAAGAUUCUUGAUUGGGUAACUCACCAGAAGAAGAUUCUUGAUUGGGUAACUCACCAGAAGAAGAUUCUUGACUCUGAGUAGACUACAUAAUGGCUUCUUCUGCCUUGUCUCUCCUUGAAUACCUUCUCAAAUCUGGCUUGUCCAAACGACCAAUUCUUUCUCCCUGAUUGGACAUCUCCCCUUGUCUACUAGAACUCAAACUCUCUAGUUGAACCAUAUUAUACAGAAUCACAGAAUAAGGGAUCACCUUUUCUUGUUCAUUAUUCUCCCCCUGAAGAGGUGAGUGGGUGGCACUGAAGUAGGAUUCAGUUUCUCGGAAGGUAACAUCCAUACUGACUAAGGAUUUUCUAGAGGGAGGGUGAUAACACUUGUAUCCCUUCUGUGUCGGAGAAUACCCAACAAACACACAAAAGGGCCUUGGAGUCCAAUUUCCCUGCCCUCCUAGUAUGGACAAAACAAACACACCCAAAUACUUUUGAUGGAACAACAUAUGAAUUCUUCCCUUGUAGAACCGUCAAAGGACUCAUAAAGUCAAAGGUCCUAAGAGGCAUUCUAUUUAUAAGGUAAGCAGAUACAAAGAUUGCAUCUCGCCAAUAUGCUUUGGAUAGAUUCAUGGUGAACAUAAGAGAUCGAGC